GACGGAGGAUGCAAGCGUUAUCCGGAAUGAUUGGGCGUAAAGCGUCCGCAGGUGGCAGUUCAAGUCUGCUGUCAAAGACCGGGGCUUAACUUCGGAAAGGCAGUGGAAACUACAUAGCUAGAGUACGUUCGGGGCAGAGGGAAUUCCUGGUGUAGCGGUGAAAUGCGUAGAGAUCAGGAAGAACACCAGUGGCGAAGGCGCUCUGCUAGGCCGUAACUGACACUGAGGGACGAAAGCUAGGGGAGCGAAUGGG
This 253-nucleotide ribosomal RNA is filed under the name uncultured bacterium. RNAcentral's name for it is "partial 16S ribosomal RNA". It matches the Rfam family "Bacterial small subunit ribosomal RNA", at positions 524 to 776 of the family's 1533-position model. The record is from RNAcentral.